AAAAGCUUAGUUGGAUUUUGAAAAAUGUAUUUGAUAUUGAUCAAAUACCUUUUAUCUUAGUAUUUUUGAAAGAUUAAUUUUAAUGGCCACUUUAUCCUUUUGAAUUAACAAUUAUGCAUCAACUAAAAAUAUAAUAAAAUAAAAUAAAAAAAUAAAGCAAUAAAAAAAGGUAAAAGAAAUAAUGAAAGGGAUGGGGCACACUAUCAAUAUAAGAGGUAAAAGAAUUAAAAAAGACUAAAGGAAAUAAAAGAAAGAACAAAAAUAAAUAAAUAAAGCAAUAAUAAUAAA
RNAcentral lists this long non-coding RNA (288 nucleotides) under Lathyrus oleraceus (garden pea). RNAcentral's name for it is "Pisum sativum (pea) long non-coding RNA (PSAT_LNC038238)". Lineage: Eukaryota; Viridiplantae; Streptophyta; Magnoliopsida; Fabales; Fabaceae. The record is from RNAcentral.